UAAGGGCGCACGGUGGAUGCCUUGGCACUAGAAGCCGAUGAAGGACGUUACUAACGACGAUAUGCUUUGGGGAGCUGUAAGUAAGCUUUGAUCCAGAGAUUUCCGAAUGGGGAAACCCAGCAUGAGUUAUGUCAUGUUAUCGAUAUGUGAAUACAUAGCAUAUCAGAAGGCACACCCGGAGAACUGAAACAUCUUAGUACCCGGAGGAAGAGAAAGAAAAUUCGAUUCCCUUAGUAGCGGCGAGCGAAACGGGAAGAGCCCAAACCAACAAGCUUGCUUGUUGGGGUUGUAGGACACUCUAUACGGAGUUACAAAGGACGACAUUAGACGAAUCAUCUGGAAAGAUGAAUCAAAGAAGGUAAUAAUCCUGUAGUCGAAAAUGUUGUCUCUCUUGAGUGGAUCCUGAGUACGACGGAGCACGUGAAAUUCCGUCGGAAUCUGGGAGGACCAUCUCCUAAGGCUAAAUACUCUCUAGUGACCGAUAGUGAACCAGUACCGUGAGGGAAAGGUGAAAAGCACCCCG
Molecule: ribosomal RNA, 523 nt
Filed under: Staphylococcus aureus
Lineage: Bacteria; Bacillati; Bacillota; Bacilli; Caryophanales; Staphylococcaceae
Description: partial 23S ribosomal RNA
Rfam family: Bacterial large subunit ribosomal RNA
Source: RNAcentral